UGCCCAUUGAUGUAACGGCAACAUGACUGGCUCUGGACCAGUUCUUCCUAGUUCGAAUCUAGGGUGGGCAGC
RNAcentral lists this transfer RNA (72 nucleotides) under Streptomyces phage WRightOn. Its description in RNAcentral is "tRNA-Gln". It matches the Rfam family "tRNA". From Rfam's summary of the family: Transfer RNA (tRNA) molecules are approximately 80 nucleotides in length. Their secondary structure includes four short double-helical elements and three loops (D, anti-codon, and T loops). RNAcentral also lists the same sequence under 2 other names. The record is from RNAcentral. Lineage: Duplodnaviria; Heunggongvirae; Uroviricota; Caudoviricetes.